CGUCUUCGUCUGAAUGAAGUUUUUGCACUCUAACUUUAGUAUAAGUAAAUAGAAAUCUAUGAAAUUUAAAUACAAGGUUUAUGACCAUAAAAGGAAGGUUGGGAUUGAUUUUGGGUGUUUUUGUCCCAACAGUUUAGGAAUUAGGGGCCAAAAAGGGCCCAAAUAAGCAUUUUUCUUGGUUUUCACACAAUAACUUCUGUACAAGUAAACAGAAAUCUAUGAAAUUUUAACAUAAGGUCUAUGACCACAAAAGGAAAGUUGGGAUUGAUUUUAGGAGUUUUAGUCCCAACAGUUUAGGAAUUAGGGGCCAAAAAUAGGUCCCAAGUAAGCAUUUUUCUUGGUUUCGCACAAUAACUUCAGUAUAAGUAAUAAAAAUCUAUGAAAUUUUAACACAAGAUUUAUGACCACAAAAGGAAGGUUUGGAUUGAUUUUGGGAGUUUUGGUCCCAACAAAUUAGGGGCCAAAAUUAAACUUUGUUUGAUUUCAUCAAAAAAUGAAUUAUUGUGGUUCUUUGAUAUGCCAAGCCAAAUCUAACAGUGUAUUCAGAUUCUUAAUUGUUGGUCCUGUUUAAAAAUUGGUCUACAUUAAGGUCCAAAGGGUCCAAAAUUAAACUUAGCAUGAUUUCAUUCUGUGUCAGAAACCUAUGUUGUGUUAACUAUUUAAUCACAAUCAAAAUUCAGAGCUGUAUCAAUGUUGUGUCCAUACUUGCCCCAACUGUUCAGGGUUUGACCUCUGCAGUCGUAUAUAGCUGCGCCCUGCGGAGCAUCUGGCUUUAUUGUCAAAUAAAAUUUAUGACUUUCUUAAUUUGGAUUUUUUUUAAUUGUGUUUUUUUUUCAAGCAGAUUUAUCAAAGAAAAUGUAUAUGUAUCCCGGUGAUUAAAGCUAACUGUGGCACUUAAUUAAAAUGAUGGGUAAAUGUUGUCUUUCAUUGAUCAUUUGACCUUUAAAGAAUUAUGUUGUGGUAGCUCUUGAUUGUACAUGUAAUAGAUUAAAUUGAUAGAAAAUAUUAUUCAUAAUGAUGUUAUGAUAAAAAAGAUUUAAAAGAAUGAGGUUAUGAUAUAAUAGUUUUGAAAAAGAUUGAAAAAUAAAAAGUGUUAAGUGUUGGAUAUCAAUUCGUGGCGGAACCAAAAGAAAGAUUUUAUGAUUUUUUUUUUUAAUCAAACCUUUUUUAGGAAUAGGCCAUUCAUAAGAAAUAAAGUUCUGUCUCUUUUAUUUUACUUUUUAAGUUAGAUACAUUUUUUAGACCAUAAACAACAAUGGAAGAAAAUAGGAUUACCUUUUAAAGCCAUAUUAAUAAUUUGGUUAUAUAGGUUAAAUUUUUUAUUAAUAUGUGAAGAACUCAUAGUUUUUAGUGCCACAUAGUUUUAAGGAUUUUUUUUAUAAUAACUUUGAUCAAUUUGUAGACAGUUGAUCUUAUUAUUCAUCAUGAGUUUUUGUUUUUUAAGGGUGGGAGUCUAAAUGAAUUGCACUCUACUUGUCAUACAUAUGUUGUAAGUUGUAUAUACUGCUAUGUAAAUAAUUGUAAAUAAUCAUAAAGCCAGUAAAAUGUGGAUUUUUUUUUUUAAGUAUAUGUGUUAUCUAUAAUAUUAUGCAAAACCACUAGGUUUGUAAAAUCAGGUUUUCACUGUUAGUUCUAUUAAAUAUAACGCCCGCACUUAGUAAAAUAUACUGUUCCAAAUUGGUGUAUCUCUUUUUCUCGCCUGCCAAACUCACAUUCUGAUAUUUUUUUAUAUCUUGGAAAAGUGCACUGAUAUGGUUCUAACACUGAAUUUUUCUAGAUAAGAAAAUUGGAGACUUUUUUUAGUCAACUACUAUCUUUUUUUUCCCUGUUAUGUAAGAAAGCAUAAGUAUAUUCAUUAAGAUUUAAAUAUUUUUUGGAAAAACAAAAAUGAGUUCAUUUUAAUCAAAUACACUUUAAGAUGAUUGCUGCUGACAUAUAGAAUAUAAACAUUUUGAAAAUGACUGUUUGUGCAAAAUAUCAAAACUAUUGGAAAAAAUAUCAGUCCCUUAGUUUUUUUUGUGAUACAAGCAUUUCAGAAUUAUUAUUUUUGGCAUGAAUAGGCGUCCGGAUAUUGUAUAUGUAAUAAAUAGUCUGAAGGGAAUUACAUACUUCAAUAUUUAUUUCAAUCAAUGGCAUGUUUAUACCUUAUUUUAUGUUAAUUCAACUUACAAUUGUUACUCUUUAUUUUGAUGAAAUAUACCAGGUAUAAAUGUAAUGGAAAGAGGAAUAACUGAAAUGACCAAGUCAUUUUACAAUAGUUUUGGUAAAGUAAAUGGAAAAUUAAUGUUUAAAAUUGUUUAAUAGGCAGUAAUUAUUUUUUUCUUGCUUGUGUCAAAUAAGUGCAUUAAGGCUCAGCCUGGUAACAAUUCAUAGUUCUUUUUAAAUAUGAAUGAUUUACACAAAACAAUAUCUUUUAAAACAUUUUCUGAAUUAUUUUUUGAAGUAAAUUUUAAUUUUUGUAACUGAAUAUUUUUAAAUUAUAGUUGACAAAAUUUGGUAUUUAACAUAGAUAUAGAGAUAUAGGUUGCCUCCCUUUCACCAGUAUUAGUAGAAAUUACUAUAAAUGAUGAUUCUGGUAUUUUUCCCCAUUCUAUAAAUAAGUAUGAAGCCCCAUCAUUAUGUAUAUAAAAAUAUGAUAUUUUGAUAUAUUAUGUUAACAUAUACUGCUGGUGGAGAGCAUCAGUUAUAAUAAACAUUAGAAGACCUUAGUGAAUCCUACCUCCAUCAUUAACCUUUUAAGAUGUAUCAGUCAGAAUAAAGAAAAAGGUCUAUUUAUAAAGUUCUUCAAAACCCAUCAACUUUUAUCUAUGUUUGUAUAUAUAUAUAUUCAGUGAAGAUAUGCACAUCACUGUGUGUACACAAUUUGUAAUAAUUUAAACCUGUACAGUUUUAUCAAAUUGUUUAAGGAUUGUGUCAAUUUAAUGAAAUCAACUCUUACAGUUUUAAUCCAUAAUCUUUAAACUUGUAUUAGGUGGUAUUCAAAUAACAUUUACGAUGUGACUUGAGAUAAAUUUCAACUGCAUUCUCAAUGGAGGUACCCCCCUAUUUUGUCGUUUUGCUAACUCUUGGAGACAAUACUAAAAAUAUUCUCAAUUUUGCUAAUUUGCUGAAAUCUUUUAAAUAAGUUUAAAAUAAGUCCAUUUAAAGCUUGCAUUUCUGAAUAAUGCAACAAUAAACUUAUUCAAUAUAAAACCAUUGUGUGUUUGCAAUAAGCAGCCAUACAAUGUUAUUUUAUAUUGAAGGGAGGUGCAUUAAAAUUUGAAGGUUGAUCAUCUUUAAAAUGGGCUUUACUUCCGAAAGUCUAUUCUGAUUUAAUGGCUUAAUUUAUCAUCAAUAUUUAUUCUUAACCCAGUUAAAUUGAACAUGAAAAAAUAAUACCUCAUAAUGUAAUUAUUAUUAUUGAUUCAAGUGUAAUUUAGAAAUUGUUGAUUAUAAAAUGUAGGCAGUAUAAUUUCAGUGACACAUCCUGUCAUAUUUGGAUACUUGUGUGUGAACUUUUUGUAACUAAUGUAUUUCCUCUUUAAUAGAUUACAGUUGUGUAUCAACACAUUUAAGUUGCAAGUUCAUUUUGUAUGUAUAUAGAAUUAUUUUUUUUUAUUAUUAUUUUUUUUUUUUAUCUUCAAAGACAGUUUUUUUUUUUUUUUUUUUUUAAAUAUUUCACUUGCUUGAUUAUGUAGUAAAGUAUAUUGAAUAUAUUUUACAGUGUAAUUUGUUAUGUGUUAGUUUUUGAUAUCAAAUUGAUUUUGAAAAGAUGAUCUUUUAUAAGCAUUUAGAAAAUUGGAUUUUUUAUUACAGUGAAUUGAUAUCAUGUAAAGUUACAAUUCAUAGGUUAUAACAAAUCUUUUAAGUACUAUCAAAAAGAAUUUUGACUGAAAUUGUUUAAUUAUUAAGAUAUGUUUUAUGAGUAUGUA
RNAcentral lists this long non-coding RNA (3911 nucleotides) under Mytilus galloprovincialis (Mediterranean mussel). The record is from RNAcentral. Lineage: Eukaryota; Metazoa; Mollusca; Bivalvia; Mytilida; Mytilidae.